This 280-nucleotide unclassified non-coding RNA is filed under the name Clostridioides difficile. RNAcentral's name for it is "16S-23S ribosomal RNA intergenic spacer". Lineage: Bacteria; Bacillati; Bacillota; Clostridia; Peptostreptococcales; Peptostreptococcaceae. The record is from RNAcentral.
AAGGAGAAUUACCUACUGUUUAAUUUUGAGGGUUCGUUUUUACGAAUACUCAAAAUUAGCACUUUUAGCAACAGAAUAAACUGAACGCAUGUGAAGUUUGUUUGUUGGCGCUGUGCAUUAGCACUUUAAGCAACGGAAUUUAUUCGUUGGCGCUGUGCGUUAGCACUUUGAAAACUGCAUAUAUAUUUAGUGAUAUGACAUCUAAUUUGUAAUAUAUAAAGCUGAUAACUUUUUAAAAUUAUCGAAGUUGAUAGCUUCUAAUCUAUCAAACCUUUUUAAC